This 695-nucleotide ribosomal RNA is filed under the name Xenorhina sp. 1 ENR-2011. RNAcentral's name for it is "partial 12S ribosomal RNA". The stretch from base 1 to 467 matches the Rfam family "Bacterial small subunit ribosomal RNA", at positions 869 to 1533 of the family's 1533-position model. Lineage: Eukaryota; Metazoa; Chordata; Amphibia; Anura; Microhylidae. The record is from RNAcentral.
CCGCCAGGAGAGUACGAGCCCAAGCUUAAAACCCAAAGGACUUGACGGUGUCCCACCCCUCUAGAGGAGCCUGUUCUAUAAUCGAUAACCCCCGAUAAACCUCACCAUCUCUCGAAUAUCAGCCUGUAUACCUCCGUCGAAAGCCUACCAUGUGAACGAAAUAAGUGGGCCCAAAGGUUUAAAACCAAAACGUCAGGUCAAGGUGCAGCCUAAGAGCUGGAAAGAAAUGGGCUACAAUCUCUAUUUUAGAGCACACGGAAAACUGCAUGCAACACAGUAUUGAAGGUGGAUUUAGUAGUAAAAAGAAAAUAGAGAGUUCUUUUUAAUUAGGCCCUGGGACGCGUACACACCGCCCGUCACCCUCUUCAAAUUAAAUUAACAAUGUAAUUAACUACACUUUAUUAUUAAGAAGAGGCAAGUCGUAACAUGGUAAGCGUACUGGAAAGUGUGCUUGGUAUAACAAAAUGUAACUUAAUAAAGUACCUUGCUUACACCAAGAACAUGUUAGUGCAACCCUAACCAUUUUGAGCUAAAAACUAAGCCCUAUAAAAUUCUAAUGAAAUAACUUGCUUAACUAAACCAAACAAAACAUUCUACUAACUAAGUAAAGGCGAUUAAAAAGUAUUUCGGAGCCACAACACUAGUACCGCAAGGGAAAAAUGAAAUAAAAAUGAAAUAAAUUUAAGCUAGACAAA